This 408-nucleotide ribosomal RNA is filed under the name uncultured bacterium. RNAcentral describes it as "partial 16S ribosomal RNA". It matches the Rfam family "Bacterial small subunit ribosomal RNA", at positions 28 to 526 of the family's 1533-position model. The record is from RNAcentral.
GACGAACGCUGGCGGCGUGCUUAACACAUGCAAGUCGAACGAAGUGGCGAACGGGUGAGUAACGCGUAAUCAACCUGCCCUUCAGAGGGGGACACCAGUUGGAAACGUCUGCUAAUACCGCAUACUGAUGGAGGGGAUUGCGUCUGAUUAGCUAGUUGGAGGGGUAACGGCCCACCAAGGCGAUGAUAAGUAGCCGGUCUGAGGGGAUGAACGGCCACAUAUGGACUGGGGCACGGCCCAGGCUCCUACGGGAGGCAGCCAUGGGGAAUCUUUCGCCAUGGACGAAAGUCUGACUGAGCACCGCCGCGUUAGUGAUGGCGGCCUUCGGGUUGUAAAGCUCUGUUAAUCGGGACGCGGUACCGGAAUAGAAAGCCACGGCUAACUACGUGCCAGCAGCCGCGGUAAUUC